Molecule: ribosomal RNA, 442 nt
Filed under: uncultured bacterium
Lineage: Bacteria
Description: partial 16S ribosomal RNA
Rfam family: Bacterial small subunit ribosomal RNA
Source: RNAcentral
CCUACGGGUGGCAGCAGUGGGGGAUAUUGGACAAUGGGGGGAACCCUGAUCCAGCGACGCCGCGUGAGUGAAGAAGUAUCUCGGUAUGUAAAGCUCUAUCAGCAGGGAAGAAGACAUGACGGUACCUGAGGAAGAAGACCCGGCUGACUACGUGCCAGCAGACGCGGUAAUACGGAGGGGGCAAGCGUUAUCCGGACUUACUGGGUGUAAAGGGAGCGUAGAGGGUGAUGUAAGUCUGGAGGGAACGGCGGGGGCCCAACCCCCGGACUGCUCUGGAAACGAUGUGACUGGCGUGCAGGAGAGGUGAGCGGAAUUCCUAGUGUAGCGGUGAAAUGCGUAGAUAUUAGGAGGAACACCAGUGGCGAAGGCGGCUCACUGGACUGUAACUGACGUUGAUGCUCGAACGCGUGGGGAGCAAACAGGAUUAGAUACCCCAGUAGUC